Molecule: ribosomal RNA, 468 nt
Filed under: uncultured bacterium
Lineage: Bacteria
Description: partial 16S ribosomal RNA
Rfam family: Bacterial small subunit ribosomal RNA
Source: RNAcentral
GACGAACGCUGGCGGCGUGCUUAACACAUGCAAGUCGAACGGAAAGGCCCUGCUUUUGUGGGGUGCUCGAGUGGCGAACGGGUGAGUAACACGUGAGUAACCUGCCCUUGACUUUGGGAUAACUUCAGGAAACUGGGGCUAAUACCGGAUAGGAGCUCCUGCUGCAUGGUGGGGGUUGGAAAGUUUCGGCGGUUGGGGAUGGACUCGCGGCUUAUCAGCUUGUUGGUGGGGUAGUGGCUUACCAAGGCUUUGACGGGUAGCCGGCCUGGGAGGGUGACCGGCCACAUGGGGACUGCGGUACGGCCCAGACUCCUACGGGAGGCAGCAGGGGGGAAUAUUGCACAACGGGCGGAAGCCUGAUGCAGCAACGCCGCGUGCGUGAUGACGGCCUUCGGGUUGUAAACCGCUUUCGCCUGUGACGAAGCGUGAGUGACGGUAAUGGGUAAAGAAGCACCGGCUAACUACGUG